ACGCGUGGAACCUUACCAGGUCUUGACAUCCCGCUGACCGAUCUGGAGACAGAUCUUCCCCUUCGGGGGCAGCGGUGACAGGUGGUGCAUGGUUGUCGUCAGCUCGUGUCGUGAGAUGUUGGGUUAAGUCCCGCAACGAGCGCAACCCUUGAUCUUAGUUGCCAGCAUUUAGUUGGGCACUCUAAGGUGACUGCCGGUGACAAACCGGAGGAAGGUGGGGAUGACGUCAAAUCAUCAUGCCCCUUAUGACCUGGGCUACACACGUGCUACAAUGGAUGGUACAAAGGGCAGCAAAGCGGCGACGCCUAGCAAAUCCCAUAAAACCAUUCUCAGUUCGGAUUGUAGGCUGCAACUCGCCUACAUGAAGCUGGAAUCGCUAGUAAUCGCGGAUCAGCAUGCCGCGGUGAAUACGUUCCCGGGCCUUGCACACACCGCCCGU
This 439-nucleotide ribosomal RNA is filed under the name uncultured bacterium. Its description in RNAcentral is "bacterial SSU rRNA". It matches the Rfam family "Bacterial small subunit ribosomal RNA", at positions 959 to 1397 of the family's 1533-position model. The record is from RNAcentral.